Molecule: ribosomal RNA, 492 nt
Filed under: uncultured bacterium
Lineage: Bacteria
Description: partial 16S ribosomal RNA
Rfam family: Bacterial small subunit ribosomal RNA
Source: RNAcentral
AGUGAACGCUGGCGGUAGGCCUAACACAUGCAAGUCGAACGGCAGCACAGUAAGAGCUUGCUCUUACGGGUGGCGGGUGGCGGACGGGUGAGGAAUACAUCGGAAUCUACUUUUUCGUGGGGGAUAACGUAGGGAAACUUACGCUAAUACCGCAUACGACCUACGGGUGAAAGCAGGGGAUCUUCGGACCUUGCGCGAUUGAAUGAGCCGAUGUCGGAUUAGCUAGUUGGCGGGGUAAAGGCCCACCAAGGCGACGAUCCGUAGCUGGUCUGAGAGGAUGAUCAGCCACACUGGAACUGAGACACGGUCCAGACUCCUACGGGAGGCAGCAGUGGGGAAUAUUGGACAAUGGGCGCAAGCCUGAUCCAGCCAUACCGCGUGGGUGAAGAAGGCCUUCUGGUUGUAAGGCCCUUUUGUUGGGAAAGAAAAGCAGCAGGUUAAUACCCCGCUGUUCUGACGGUACCCAAAGAAUAAGCACCGGCUAACUUCGUG